RNAcentral lists this ribosomal RNA (432 nucleotides) under uncultured bacterium. RNAcentral's name for it is "partial 16S ribosomal RNA". It matches the Rfam family "Bacterial small subunit ribosomal RNA", at positions 29 to 507 of the family's 1533-position model. The record is from RNAcentral.
ACGAACGCUGGCGGCAUGCCUAACACAUGCAAGUCGAACGAGACCUUCGGGGCUAGUGGCGCACGGGUGCGUAACGCGUGGGAACCUGCCCUUAGGUUCGGAAUAACUCCCCGAAAGGGGUGCUAAUACCGGAUAAUGUCUUCGGACCAAAGAUUUAUCGCCUUUGGAUGGGCCCGCGUUGGAUUAGCUAGUUGGUAGGGUAAAAGCCUACCAAGGCGACGAUCCAUAGCUGGUCUGAGAGGAUGAUCAGCCACACUGGGACUGAGACACGGCCCAGACUCCUACGGGAGGCAGCAGUGGGGAAUAUUGGACAAUGGGCGAAAGCCUGAUCCAGCAAUGCCGCGUGAGUGAUGAAGGCCUUAGGGUUGUAAAGCUCUUUUACCCGGGAUGAUAAUGACAGUACCGGGAGAAUAAGCUCCGGCUAACUCCGUG